GUGCUCACUUCAGCAGCACAUAUAUUGAAAUUGGAACAAUACAGAGAUUAUCAUGGCCCCUGUGCAAGGAUGACAGGCAAAUUUGUGAAGCAUUCCAUAUUUAA
Small nuclear RNA from Phacochoerus africanus (Common warthog), 104 nucleotides. NCBI's taxonomy places the organism in Eukaryota, Metazoa, Chordata, Mammalia, Artiodactyla, Suidae. The record is from RefSeq and is a predicted model, not a curated record.